RNAcentral lists this ribosomal RNA (578 nucleotides) under uncultured bacterium. Its description in RNAcentral is "bacterial SSU rRNA". It matches the Rfam family "Bacterial small subunit ribosomal RNA", at positions 346 to 916 of the family's 1533-position model. The record is from RNAcentral.
AGGCAGCAGUAGGGAAUCUUCCGCAAUGGACGAAAGUCUGACGGAGCAACGCCGCGUGAGCGAAGAAGGCCUUCGGGUCGUAAAGCUCUGUUGUUAGGGAAGAACAAGUAUGAGAGUAACUGCUCGUACCUUGACGGUACCUAACCAGAAAGCCACGGCUAACUACGUGCCAGCAGCCGCGGUAAUACGUAGGUGGCAAGCGUUGUCCGGAAUUAUUGGGCGUAAAGCGCGCGCAGGCGGUCCUUUAAGUCUGAUGUGAAAGCCCACGGCUCAACCGUGGAGGGUCAUUGGAAACUGGGAGACUUGAGUGCAGAAGAGGAGAGUGGAAUUCCACGUGUAGCGGUGAAAUGCGUAGAGAUGUGGAGGAACACCAGUGGCGAAGGCGACUCUCUGGUCUGUAACUGACGCUGAGGCGCGAAAGCGUGGGGAGCAAACAGGAUUAGAUACCCUGGUAGUCCACGCCCUAAACGAUGACAACUGGAUGUCGGGAGGGUUUGCCUUCCGGUGUCGUAGCUAACGCGUUAAGUUGUCCGCCUGGGAAGUACGGCCGCAAGGUUGAAACUUAAAGGAAUUGACGG